GAGAGGACGGUGUAGGUCUGUAGGAGGAAAGGACGGUGUAGGUCUGUAGGAGGAGAGGACGGUGUAGGUCUGUAGGUGGAGAGGACGGUGUAGGUCUGUAGGAGGAGAGGACGGUGUAGGUCUGUAGGAGGAGAGGACGGUGUAGGUCUGUAGGAGGAGAGGACGGUAUGGGUCUGCAGGAGGAGAGGAUGGUGUAGGUCUGUAGGAGGAGAGGACGGUGUAGGUCUGUAGGAGGAGAGGAUGGUGUAGGUCUGUAGGAGGAGAGGACGGUGUAGGUCUGCAGGAGGAGCAUUUCCGAUUCUGAAGAAAAUAACAUCAUUGCAACGGUCUACUUGGAGUUGAACGACUGACUUUUAAAACAGCCAGAGAGGGACUGUAGCAAAUUAGCCCCUUGGUCUCAACGUG
Long non-coding RNA from Oncorhynchus tshawytscha (Chinook salmon), 405 nucleotides. NCBI's taxonomy places the organism in Eukaryota, Metazoa, Chordata, Actinopteri, Salmoniformes, Salmonidae. The record is from Ensembl.